RNAcentral lists this ribosomal RNA (68 nucleotides) under Silene hicesiae. Its description in RNAcentral is "partial 26S ribosomal RNA". It matches the Rfam family "Eukaryotic large subunit ribosomal RNA", at positions 1 to 72 of the family's 3401-position model. The record is from RNAcentral. Lineage: Eukaryota; Viridiplantae; Streptophyta; Magnoliopsida; Caryophyllales; Caryophyllaceae.
CCCAGGUCAGGCGGGGCUACCCGCUGAAUUUAAGCAUAUCAAUAAGCGGAGGAAAAGAAACUUACAAG